GUAGUCUGAGCUCUAGGUCAGACUGCUGAAUCUGUGGCCUUUCUCCAAUCUAUUGUCUAGGCUGAUUCUCUAUGGUUGGGGAAAAAAAUCUCUCCAAUCUAAAGAGCCCCAUCGGCAAGUUCCAAGCUGAGGACCUGAGAGACUCCGGUGCCCUCCUGUAUGUGGCUCUGGCAAGCCAUGCCCUUUGCUGUGCUCUCAAUGUCCUCUAUUCACAAAGAAGCAAUAAUUUUCCAGCCACUCCCUGCUCUGUCCAGGGCAGCUGGCCUGCCAGUUCUCAGGGUACUGCAGAAGGCCAAUCAUAUCUGCUUCAGAUAGGCACUAAGGGGACCCCAUAAUUCCAUGGGCCCUGCCCCACUCUGAAGUGAAGAGGGUCACAUACCCUCUGUCCCCCACAUCUGGGACCAGCAGCUGCCUCCUUAAUCUGUACUAAGUACCCUCAUUCUGAAGCAGCCUGCCCUUUCCCCUCUACCCCUUAACUUCCUAAGUGUAGUUUAGACAUCCCUUUUAAAAGGUGUAUGCAGGCUAGGGUAUAGCUCAGAGGUACAGCUCCUGCCCUAGUGUGCACAAGCACCUGAGAGGGGAUAAAACAGCUUCUGUUGGCUUCUAUUCCAGAAGUUCGAGGGAGUCCUGGGGUCAGGUAAGUAGCUUCAGGCUCACCCUGGGUUUUGUUUAGCUUUUCUUUGGGAAAACAAGCCCAAGAAACAGUUUUAGCAUAGUUGGUUCAGCACAGCAGAGGUGCCAGACCCUGACCACUGGCACAGGGCCUCUACCCUGGACUUCUCUGGCUCACUCCCUCUGCCUGCUCUGAGCUACUCACGCAUCCCUUCACGUGCCUGAGAGAGACCACUGUCCUUCUCCCGCAAGUCCCUCCCAGAUGCACUACUUCUAAAGGUCUCUCUGGCCUUUCUGGAUGCUGGGCUCUCCUCUCCUUCUCUGAGAAAGACAGCUGAAGGAUAAUUCGAACAUGCUUGACGCUCCAUCCUGAGCUGCUCCCAUCUGUUUCUAAUGAAGUCAUCCACUUCCCAUGUUCUGGGUCCUGUGUGUGUCUGUGUGUCUGUGAAUGUAUACAUGUGCGAGUGUGGUGUCUCUUAGAUUGUGAGCCCUUGGGCAGGGUUCCCUGUCUGAAUAGACGUUCUGUGUGGCACGCCUGGCUGUGGUAAUAAAUGUCCAUCUUC
This 1175-nucleotide long non-coding RNA is filed under the name Mus musculus (house mouse). RNAcentral's name for it is "long non-coding RNA chr19:10451998-10453173". Lineage: Eukaryota; Metazoa; Chordata; Mammalia; Rodentia; Muridae. The record is from RNAcentral.